Non-coding RNA from Triticum aestivum (bread wheat), 139 nucleotides. NCBI's taxonomy places the organism in Eukaryota, Viridiplantae, Streptophyta, Magnoliopsida, Poales, Poaceae. The record is from Rfam.
CCGCUCGGAGACGCCGAGAUCAUCUCCCACGUCAUCGCCGGCCUUGACAUCGACUACAAUCCAGUGAUCUCGGCCUUGGCGGCGCGGAUCGAACCUGUUACGGUUCAGGAGCUGUAUAGCCAGCUCCUGAGUUUUGACG